This is a long non-coding RNA of Carcharodon carcharias (great white shark), 487 nucleotides long. RefSeq lists it as uncharacterized. The record is from RefSeq and is a predicted model, not a curated record. The transcript has 2 exons. Lineage: Eukaryota; Metazoa; Chordata; Chondrichthyes; Lamniformes; Lamnidae.
CAGAGGGAUCUGGGUGUCCUAGUGCAUGAAUCACAAAAGGCUCGUGUGCAGGUACAGCAGACAAAAGCAGCAAAAAUCUGAAUGUUGCUACAUAAGGGACUGGGUGCUACAGUCCUGGAAAUCUCUACAGAUACCAGCAUCUCUUUCAAACCAUCCACCAAACCUGUACUCAGGUCGAGCAGCUGGCUGAUAUUGCAGUUCUGAACAUGCGUGGUUCCAGUAGCUGGGCGAUGGGGAACAGAGCUCAAUCCCUGUUGUUCCCUGCUUCUUGUCAAUACAAUUACGAGGAGAGCUAGCAUACUCACAGCCGCCUCAAUUGUGUAUCAGAAACUUGUGUAAUCUUUCAAGUAACGACAGUGACGAAAGGAGGGCUUGGUCUGAAGAUUGUGAGGUAAAUGCCUGAUCCUGGUACAUUAUACACCAACCAAUUGUAUGCUGAAAAUGUCAGACUCUCUUUCGCUCCUAUAAACCUGGUCACUUCAGCCCA